GUUUGAUCCUGGCUCAGAGCGAACGUUAGCGGCGCGCCUAACACAUGCAAGUCGCACGAGAAAGGGGGCAACCCCCGGUACAGUGGCGCACGGGUGAGUAACACGUAGAUGACCUUCCCUGGAGUGGUGGAUAACCUGCCGAAAGGCGGGCUAAUACAGCAUGGGACCACACGGUUUUGGCCGAGUGGUGAAAGCGGGCCUCUGUUCACAAGCUCGCGCUCUGGGAUGGAUCUGCGGCCCAUCAGCUAGUUGGUGAGGUAAUGGCUCACCAAGGCUACGACGGGUAGCUGGUCUGAGAGGAUGAUCAGCCACACUGGAACUGAGACACGGUCCAGACUCCUACGGGAGGCAGCAGUGGGGAAUCUUGCGCAAUGGGCGAAAGCCUGACGCAGCGACGCCGCGUGGGUGACGAAGGCCUUCGGU
This 423-nucleotide ribosomal RNA is filed under the name uncultured bacterium. RNAcentral's name for it is "bacterial SSU rRNA". It matches the Rfam family "Bacterial small subunit ribosomal RNA", at positions 11 to 422 of the family's 1533-position model. The record is from RNAcentral.